This 515-nucleotide ribosomal RNA is filed under the name uncultured bacterium. RNAcentral describes it as "bacterial SSU rRNA". It matches the Rfam family "Bacterial small subunit ribosomal RNA", at positions 33 to 518 of the family's 1533-position model. The record is from RNAcentral.
ACACGCUGGCGGCGUGCCUAAUACAUGCAAGUCGAACGGUCUUUCUAUGGAAGCUUGCUUCCACUGAGAAGAUAGUGGCGAACGGGUGAGUAACACGUGAGUAACCUGCCCAUAAGAGGGGGAUAACAUCCGGAAACGGGUGCUAAUACCGCAUAGUUUUCUUGAUCGCAUGAUCGGGAAAGGAAAGACGGCCUUUGUGCUGUCGCUUAUGGAUGGACCCGCGGCGUAUUAGUUAGUUGGUGAGGUAACGGCUCACCAAGACGAUGAUACGUAGCCGACCUGAGAGGGUGAUCGGCCACAUUGGGACUGAGACACGGCCCAAACUCCUACGGGAGGCAGCAGUAGGGAAUCUUCCGCAAUGGACGAAAGUCUGACGGAGCAACGCCGCGUGAGUGAAGAAGGUUUUUCCGGAUCGUAAAACUCUGUUGUCAGAGAAGAACAAGUUGGAGAGUAACUGCUCCAGCCUUGACGGUAUCUGACCAGAAAGCCACGGCUAACUACGUGCCAGCAGCAGC